UUUUGCAGCAGUAGGGAAUCUUCCACAAUGGACGAAAGUUUGAUGGAGCAACGCCGCGUGAGUGAUGAAGGUUUUCGGAUCGUAAAACUCUGUUGUUAAAGAAGAACAAGUGUUAGAGUAACUGUUAACACUUUGACGGUAUUUAACCAGAAAGCCACGGCUAACUACGUGCCAGCAGCCGCGGUAAUACGUAGGUGGCAAGCGUUGUCCGGAUUUAUUGGGCGUAAAGCGAGCGCAGGCGGUUUUGUAAGUCUGCUGUGAAAGCCCUCAGCUCAACUGAGGAAGUGCAGUGGAAACUACAAAACUUGAGUACAGAAGAGGAAAGUGGAACUCCAUGUGUAGCGGUGAAAUGCGUAGAUAUAUGGAAGAACACCAGUGGCGAAGGCGGCUUUUUGGUCUGUUACUGACGCUGAGGCUCGAAAGCAUGGGUAGCGAACAGGAUUAGAUACCCUGGUAGUCCAUGCCGUAAACGAUGAAUACUAGGUGUUGGAGGGUUUCCGCCCUUCAGUGCCGCAGCUAACGCAUUAAGUAUUCCGCCUGGGGAGUACGACCGCAAGGUUGAAACUCAAAGGAAUUGACGGGGGCCCGCACAAGUGGUGGAGCAUGUGGUUUAAUUCGAUGCUACGCGAAGAACCUUACCAGCUCUUGACAUCUUCUGCCAACCCAAGAGAUUGGGCGUUCCCUUCGGGGACAGAAUGACAGGUGGUGCCCAUGGUGUUUUCCAGCCUUCGGUUGUAU
Molecule: ribosomal RNA, 738 nt
Filed under: Apilactobacillus kunkeei
Lineage: Bacteria; Bacillati; Bacillota; Bacilli; Lactobacillales; Lactobacillaceae
Description: bacterial SSU rRNA
Rfam family: Bacterial small subunit ribosomal RNA
Source: RNAcentral